UUACAGCAACUGGCAUCUCAUGGUCUGUUUGAUGUAUAUGUGAAGGCGAUGGGUGACACACACAUUGAUGAUCAUCACUCAAAUGAGGAUACUGCUUUAGCAAUUGGAAUGGCAUUACUUCAAGCACUUGGUGACCGAAAAGGGAUUAACCGGUUUGGGCAUUUUACAGCACCACUUGAGGAGGCAGCAGUUGAGGUUAUACUGGAUCUAUCUGGUCGACCUCAUUUGAGCUGCGGCUUAAGUAUUCCUACCGAGAGAGUUGGCACAUAUGAUACACAGCUAGUUGCGCACUUUUUCCAGUCCCUUGUGAAUACAUCUGGCAUGACGCUUCAGAUCCGUCAGCUUGCGGGGAACAACUCACACCAUAUUAUGGAGGCAACUUUCAAAGCAUUUGCCAGGGCGCUUCGACAAGCAACGGAAUACGACUUACGCAGACGUGGCACCAUCCCAGGUUCGUGA
Molecule: ribosomal RNA, 459 nt
Filed under: Triticum aestivum (bread wheat)
Lineage: Eukaryota; Viridiplantae; Streptophyta; Magnoliopsida; Poales; Poaceae
Description: partial small subunit ribosomal RNA
Source: RNAcentral